UGGGCACAAUAAUAAACAGAAACAGUAUGGACCUAACAGAAGAAGAUGAUAUUAAGGAGUAGCAAGAGGUUGGGUCCAGGCAGGAGGCGGGACUUCCGCUCCAUUGUGGGUGUUUGUAAAGUGCUGCCCAAUUACCCUUGAACAUAGUUGAAACCGAAAAUAGGAAGAUGGCAGCAAACCCUUCAGGACAAGGUUUUCAAAACAAAAAUAGAGUUGCAAUCUUGGCAGAACUGGACAAAGAAAAAAGAAAAUUACUAAUGCAGAACCAAUCUUCAACAAAUCAUCCUGGAGCUAGCAUUGCGCUCUCGAGACCCGCUCUCAACAAGGACUUCCGGGACCACGCUGAGCAGCAGCAUAUUGCAGCCCAGCAGAAGGCAGCUUUGCAGCAUGCACAUGCACAUUCAUCAGGACACUUCAUAACUCAAGAUUCUGCAUUUGGGAAUCUCAUUCUUCCUGUUUUACCUCGCCUUGACCCAGAAUGAAGAAAAUAUUUGUAACGGAAGUGACUUGGUAACAUCAGAUGCCAAAGCCACUAACAUUCAGUGCUGUACAAACCGUGACUUUCAGAAGUUUGGUGGACUUUUUUAUAUAUUUUGUUUCUUUAAAAGAAAGAUAAGUAUAAGUGAAAGCAAAAAAAAGGAGAGUGACCAGGAUGAUGAAAGCUCUGGAAGCUGUAUUAUCUGGGAACUGAUGCUGCUGCUCAGGACUAUAAUCUGUGUGUAAGGCCGUUUGAUUUUUAAUUCUGAAUCAGACCCCAAAGUGGAUGUGGUCACACAACCCACCUCCCAAACUAGUUGGACUGAAUAUAUCAUGUCUACAGUAGACUUUCAAGAACCAUUUAAAGUACUUUAUGAACAAAUGAGGGUGCUUUUUAAAAAUGUGAACCAGUAGGCUUAAGUUACAUUCACAUUUGCUGUUUAUAGAAUUGAUACCAGUGUACCUUUUGUGUUUAUAGUCAUCAUAUCCUAAAAUAUCCUUUAACUGGUAACUAGUUUGCCUAUUCUCAAUUUUAAAAGAAAACCCGAGAUGCGAGUAAAUUACCUGCCAGUCGUAAAUACCUUUUAUAAAUCUAUGCCGCUGUAAAUUAUGUGACUAAAUGCUAUUAAAAACAAUAAGAAAUACAGUUGUAAA
Molecule: non-coding RNA, 1131 nt
Organism: Odocoileus virginianus texanus
Lineage: Eukaryota; Metazoa; Chordata; Mammalia; Artiodactyla; Cervidae
Source: RefSeq, a predicted model, not a curated record